RNAcentral lists this ribosomal RNA (1370 nucleotides) under Lactiplantibacillus plantarum. RNAcentral describes it as "bacterial SSU rRNA". It matches the Rfam family "Bacterial small subunit ribosomal RNA", at positions 70 to 1429 of the family's 1533-position model. Lineage: Bacteria; Bacillati; Bacillota; Bacilli; Lactobacillales; Lactobacillaceae. The record is from RNAcentral.
CAUCAUGAUUUACAUUUGAGUGAGUGGCGAACUGGUGAGUAACACGUGGGAAACCUGCCCAGAAGCGGGGGAUAACACCUGGAAACAGAUGCUAAUACCGCAUAACAACUUGGACCGCAUGGUCCGAGCUUGAAAGAUGGCUUCGGCUAUCACUUUUGGAUGGUCCCGCGGCGUAUUAGCUAGAUGGUGGGGUAACGGCUCACCAUGGCAAUGAUACGUAGCCGACCUGAGAGGGUAAUCGGCCACAUUGGGACUGAGACACGGCCCAAACUCCUACGGGAGGCAGCAGUAGGGAAUCUUCCACAAUGGACGAAAGUCUGAUGGAGCAACGCCGCGUGAGUGAAGAAGGGUUUCGGCUCGUAAAACUCUGUUGUUAAAGAAGAACAUAUCUGAGAGUAACUGUUCAGGUAUUGACGGUAUUUAACCAGAAAGCCACGGCUAACUACGUGCCAGCAGCCGCGGUAAUACGUAGGUGGCAAGCGUUGUCCGGAUUUAUUGGGCGUAAAGCGAGCGCAGGCGGUUUUUUAAGUCUGAUGUGAAAGCCUUCGGCUCAACCGAAGAAGUGCAUCGGAAACUGGGAAACUUGAGUGCAGAAGAGGACAGUGGAACUCCAUGUGUAGCGGUGAAAUGCGUAGAUAUAUGGAAGAACACCAGUGGCGAAGGCGGCUGUCUGGUCUGUAACUGACGCUGAGGCUCGAAAGUAUGGGUAGCAAACAGGAUUAGAUACCCUGGUAGUCCAUACCGUAAACGAUGAAUGCUAAGUGUUGGAGGGUUUCCGCCCUUCAGUGCUGCAGCUAACGCAUUAAGCAUUCCGCCUGGGGAGUACGGCCGCAAGGCUGAAACUCAAAGGAAUUGACGGGGGCCCGCACAAGCGGUGGAGCAUGUGGUUUAAUUCGAAGCUACGCGAAGAACCUUACCAGGUCUUGACAUACUAUGCAAAUCUAAGAGAUUAGACGUUCCCUUCGGGGACAUGGAUACAGGUGGUGCAUGGUUGUCGUCAGCUCGUGUCGUGAGAUGUUGGGUUAAGUCCCGCAACGAGCGCAACCCUUAUUAUCAGUUGCCAGCAUUAAGUUGGGCACUCUGGUGAGACUGCCGGUGACAAACCGGAGGAAGGUGGGGAUGACGUCAAAUCAUCAUGCCCCUUAUGACCUGGGCUACACACGUGCUACAAUGGAUGGUACAACGAGUUGCGAACUCGCGAGAGUAAGCUAAUCUCUUAAAGCCAUUCUCAGUUCGGAUUGUAGGCUGCAACUCGCCUACAUGAAGUCGGAAUCGCUAGUAAUCGCGGAUCAGCAUGCCGCGGUGAAUACGUUCCCGGGCCUUGUACACACCGCCCGUCACACCAUGAGAGUUUGUAACACCCAAAGUCG